RNAcentral lists this ribosomal RNA (253 nucleotides) under uncultured bacterium. Its description in RNAcentral is "partial 16S ribosomal RNA". It matches the Rfam family "Bacterial small subunit ribosomal RNA", at positions 524 to 776 of the family's 1533-position model. The record is from RNAcentral.
UACGUAGGGUGCAAGCGUUGUCCGGAAUUAUUGGGCGUAAAGAGCUCGUAGGCGGUUUGUCGCGUCUGCUGUGAAAACCCGAGGCUCAACCUCGGGCCUGCAGUGGGUACGGGCAGACUAGAGUGCGGUAGGGGAGAUUGGAAUUCCUGGUGUAGCGGUGGAAUGCGCAGAUAUCAGGAGGAACACCGGUGGCGAAGGCGGGUCUCUGGGCCGUAACUGACGCUGAGGAGCGAAAGCGUGGGGAGCGAACAGG